UACGGGGGGGGCAAGCGUUGUUCGGAAUUACUGGGCGUAAAGGGCUCGUAGGCGGCCAACUAAGUCAGACGUGAAAUCCCUCGGCUUAACCGGGGAACUGCGUCUGAUACUGGAUGACUUGAGUGUGGCAGAGGGGGGUGGAAUUCCACGUGUAGCAGUGAAAUGCUUAGAUAUGCCAUAGAACACCGAUUGCGAAGGCAGCUUGCUGGACCUGUAUUGACGCUGAGGCACGAAAGCGUGGGGAGCAAACAGG
This 253-nucleotide ribosomal RNA is filed under the name uncultured bacterium. RNAcentral's name for it is "partial 16S ribosomal RNA". It matches the Rfam family "Bacterial small subunit ribosomal RNA", at positions 524 to 776 of the family's 1533-position model. The record is from RNAcentral.